This 23-nucleotide microRNA is filed under the name Microcaecilia unicolor. RNAcentral's name for it is "Mun-Mir-430-P1_3p (mature (guide))". The record is from RNAcentral. Lineage: Eukaryota; Metazoa; Chordata; Amphibia; Gymnophiona; Siphonopidae.
CAAGUGCUUCUGUGUUUUAGUGG